AGCAGCAGCCACGGGAAUACAGAGGGUGCGAGCGUUAAUCGGAUUUACUGGGCGUAAAGCGUGCGUAGGCGGCUUCUUAAGUCGGAUGUGAAAUCCCUGAGCUUAACUUAGGAAUUGCAUUCGAUACUGGGAAGCUAGAGUAUGGGAGAGGAUGGUAGAAUUCCAGGUGUAGCGGUGAAAUGCGUAGAGAUCUGGAGGAAUACCGAUGGCGAAGGCAGCCAUCUGGCCUAAUACUGACGCUGAGGUACGAAAGCAUGGGGAGCAAACAGGAUUAGAUACCCCGGUAGUCCCUGUCUCUUAUAC
Molecule: ribosomal RNA, 303 nt
Filed under: uncultured bacterium
Lineage: Bacteria
Description: partial 16S ribosomal RNA
Rfam family: Bacterial small subunit ribosomal RNA
Source: RNAcentral